Molecule: ribosomal RNA, 450 nt
Filed under: Pasteurella canis
Lineage: Bacteria; Pseudomonadati; Pseudomonadota; Gammaproteobacteria; Pasteurellales; Pasteurellaceae
Description: bacterial SSU rRNA
Source: RNAcentral
GCUUUUUUUGCUGACSAGKGGCGGACGGGUGAGUAAWGCUUGGGAAUCUGGCUUAUGGAGGGGGAUAACUGUGGGAAACUGCAGCUAAUACCGCGUAUAAUCGAGAGAUGAAAGGGUGGGACCGUAAGGCCACUUGCCAUAAGAUGAGCCCAAGUGGGAUUAGGUAGUUGGUGGGGUAAAGGCCUACCAAGCCUGCGAUCUCUAGCUGGUCUGAGAGGAUGGCCAGCCACACUGGGACUGAGACACGGCCCAGACUCCUACGGGAGGCAGCAGUGGGGAAUAUUGCGCAAUGGGGGGAACCCUGACGCAGCCAUGCCGCGUGAAUGAAGAAGGCCUUCGGGUUGUAAAGUUCUUUCGGUGAUGAGGAAGGGGUAUUAUUGAAUAGAUAAUAUCAUUGACGUUAAUUACAGAAGAAGCACCGGCUAACUCCGUGCCAGCCSCCGCGGUAAA